Molecule: non-coding RNA, 85 nt
Organism: Felis catus (domestic cat)
Lineage: Eukaryota; Metazoa; Chordata; Mammalia; Carnivora; Felidae
Source: Rfam
GCCUGGGUGGCUUGGUCGGUUAAGCGUCCGACUUCGGCUCAGGUCAUGAUCUCACGGUCCGUGGGUUCAAUCCCCGCGUCGGGCU